AGGAAGGAGUACCAUUGGUGUUUGUCAUGGACCCUCUCCCUGGAAUCUACAUUAGCCAGAGAUUAACCAACACAAGAAGAGACAGAAAGUCAAGCGCCACUCUCAGAGUCCAGGUGAACUUUGUUCCAGUGCUCCCUGUGUUCCUGUAGGACACCCGUCCUGCAGUGUUCUCUCAAUUCUUCCACCCUGAAGGGGAGUCCGUCCUAGAGAAGCUCUUGGUGAUCUUCCAGUGGAUCUCUCGUCUGCUCCGGAGCCCUCUUCUGUGAGGUCAGAGCGCUGCCAAGGCCACGUGAGCUGGCUGAAGUCUCCUGCCUGAGCCCACAGUCUCCAGGCCGCUCUUCCCCCCUGUUCAUCUUGUCUAAGCAGUUGCCUGACUUCCAAAGUCAUUUCCCCUCUAGAAUACCUGGGUCUAAUGUGACAGUGACCCUGAAGGCUUAGCACCUUCUGACUGUGAAAACAAAAAAUGAAAAAUGUAAUAAAGGCAUGACAUUUUAAAGGU
Marmota flaviventris (yellow-bellied marmot) is the source of this 499-nucleotide long non-coding RNA. RefSeq lists it as uncharacterized. Lineage: Eukaryota; Metazoa; Chordata; Mammalia; Rodentia; Sciuridae. The record is from RefSeq and is a predicted model, not a curated record.